Molecule: long non-coding RNA, 1089 nt
Organism: Solea solea (common sole)
Lineage: Eukaryota; Metazoa; Chordata; Actinopteri; Pleuronectiformes; Soleidae
Exons: 4
Source: RefSeq, a predicted model, not a curated record
ACGCUUGGAGCUAAAAAGUUAUGUUUACAUCUCUCUCUCUCCCUUUGAUUUUUUACAAGCUUUUUGUUUGUCGCUCUUAAACCUGAAAGUCUAUCAUAAUGUACACUGCUUUGUGACGUGCUGUUAAUAAGCAUGCGGGUUAAAUUCCCGUUGUGCAGUGACCAAGGUCAGAUGAAGGAGAAAAAACGAGGCACAGACGACAAAGACGAAGAUCUCGUGUCGUCCCGGCGCGUGAAACAGCUUCGGAUACAAGUCGCUCACGGAGGUGAUGACGCUCUCGACCGUCACAAACUGAGAGGAGGAAUGAAAUGAGCUGAGACUGUGUUUGCUGCAUCUACCUCUUAUGUGGUUGGUCAAUCAUCGGUCUUACAUGUGUGUCGACCGUCAAAAGAAUGAGCAUCAGGAAGAAACAGAUGGUCCAGAGCUGUGGCAGAGGCAUCAUUGCUGUUGCUUGAGGGUGCUGCCAAAAGGUUAGGUCACUUGUACCUGACUCGGUCACAUUUCUGACGCUCACACCCUGUUUCUGAGCCAUGAAUCCAAGAACGGAGAAGACGACGAAUCCGGCGACAAAACUGGUGGCGCUGUUCAGCAGACACAGCCAAAAGCAGUCCCUAAAGGUGUUGUCACAGUUGGCCCAUGGCAGUUCAGACUGGAAAGAGAACACCAGGUAGAAGAUAGCCCACACCUGGACUAAUAUGUAGCUGAAGUCAUAAACUUUCAUCAUGAAAUAUCCAUAUCCGAUCCCUGGAAUGUAAAAUUGAAGGUAAAUCACAUCAAUGGCGACGGGUUUCCAUCAGCCUAUUUUUAUUAUUUGUAUUUGCAUGUUCAAUGUGUGCAUUAAAAAACACAGAAACACAGAAAAGCUUUCACACAUUUAGAGGUGGAACAGUUGGCAAAUUGGUAUAAAGGAACUCUUUUUACCCCACUGCCAUCAGAAUCCUUAACAGCUGAACAGGACUACAAUAAUCUUGUCACCUGGUUACACUGUCACUUAAUCUGUUACCGUCACUUUAAACCUGACACAUGUCACUUUAAAUCUGUUAAAUCUGUUUGCACAGCAUCGAAUUGCACAACCAGUUUACACUUAUU